Dermochelys coriacea (leatherback sea turtle) is the source of this 373-nucleotide long non-coding RNA. RefSeq lists it as uncharacterized. The record is from RefSeq and is a predicted model, not a curated record. The transcript has 3 exons. NCBI's taxonomy places the organism in Eukaryota, Metazoa, Chordata, Testudines, Dermochelyidae.
GGCAUUUCAGGAGUGACAGAAAGACAGAGUAACCCCCUAGGCAGACACUCUAUAGAGGGGAGAGAAGAGGAGGAGAGGAACACAGAACCCAAUCAAGGACCUGACUCCCACAUAAAAGUGGAAAGGAGAGAAAGAGACACCCCCCCACACACAACUACUCUUAUCUUCUGAGGUUAUGAGUAAGGGCAGAAGAGUACUUCUUGCUCAGAAAUUUCAUCUAUCAGUCUGGGGAAUGGCACAAAUAUUGAAGCUGUUGCGAGUAGAAUAUAUGAGGGAGAGCUCAGGGUAAGGUGCAAUAAUGUUAAAGAAUUGUAGAAAAAAGGAAAAAUAAGCUAACAAUAUAUUUUGCUAAAUAGCGAAUUUGUGACUGGGU